This 73-nucleotide transfer RNA is filed under the name Actinomycetes bacterium. RNAcentral describes it as "Actinobacteria bacterium tRNA-Thr". It matches the Rfam family "tRNA". Rfam says of the family: Transfer RNA (tRNA) molecules are approximately 80 nucleotides in length. The record is from RNAcentral. Lineage: Bacteria; Bacillati; Actinomycetota; Actinomycetes. RNAcentral also lists the same sequence under 1 other name.
GCCGGAGUAGCUCAGCUGGUAGAGCAAGUCCCUUGUAAGGACUAGGCCGUGGGUUCGAGUCCCACCUCCGGCU